RNAcentral lists this ribosomal RNA (168 nucleotides) under Trichiurus lepturus nanhaiensis. RNAcentral describes it as "partial small subunit ribosomal RNA". Lineage: Eukaryota; Metazoa; Chordata; Actinopteri; Scombriformes; Trichiuridae. RNAcentral also lists the same sequence under 1 other name. The record is from RNAcentral.
CACCGCGGUGAUACGAAAGGCUCAAGCUGACAGCCCACGGCGUAAAGCGUGGUUAGGGUAUACAAAAAUUAAAGCCGAACGCCCCCUAGGCUGUCAAAAGCACAUGAGGGUAUGAAGCCCAUUUACGAAAGUAGCUUUAUUCUCCCUGAACCCACGAAAGCUAAGAAA